ACCAUUAUGUAUAUUACCCUUAGUCAGCCAAUGUCAUUAGGCAUUGGGGGUGGGGGAUGGGGGAGAUAAGCUAAAAGGAAAUAUGGGUAUGAAUUAAAAUGGGCAGUAACAAGCCCAGCUCAUUUAUAUGAUUCUUGUUGCUCCUGCUAGGAUGCAUAGAUAUUCACCAAAAAGAGUUUCAAAUUUUAUGUUAAAGAAUAUUUUUUCAGCUGGGCCUUUGUGUUUGUUUUACAUCAAGGAUGCUAAGCUUCUCUGAAAAAAACACCAUUGAAAAAGAUGAAGGAAAAGAGGGCAUAUAAACUACAGCAUAAAGUAGGAUAAAUGCAAAUGAGGUUCGGACCGGAGUUUAAUUCAAUGGGCACGAUUACCGGCAAUUAGAAUUUCACUUUAAUACAAAAAAUUUUGGGUGGACAACACAAUAUAAGAAAUUGUCGCUAAGCACUACUCAGAAAAUUGGGACUGUGACUGCAGCAGCAAUGACGGAAGAAUGGCUUCUCCUUCCUUACCGGCAAGAGACUGAGAAGAUGAGUAACUCAAACUAUAGGCAAUAAUGCCGAUACGCAGGAAUCCUUAAUUUUAACUAGUCAUCAGCACUGAAGAUCGGCAAUGCCAGAGGUCGCUGACGUGGCUCAUGGUCAAGAUUGAAAUCACCAGAACAGAACUUCUGGAACCAUCGAUGGGCUGUGUGUUCAUUAGCCAUAUCCUUGCCCUGCGUUUCUGUGGCCACAGGCCCUGGUUCAAGGUGGUAGGCCAGGCUAGCAGAUCACUCUCAUUGGCUGUCAUUGUAUUUUUUUCUUCACGGAACUCAUUAGAUUAAGUACCCAAAAUGGUGCUGACAUGACGAUUUGGGGUGACACUUUGAACACGGCAUGUUCAGAGCUAUGGGCCACCAUGGUCUACUGUUGACCCUUAGGCUAAACAAACUGCAGAAGAAAUCUACAUUGUUUCAAUACAAACAGGUUCCAAAGAGCCAUUGCAUGAGAUUAAACAGAAAUGGUGAAUUUGACAAUCACUAACACAAAUGGAUGAUUUCUGGACCAGAAAAGGAAGGGAUUCUGCAAGGACAUUAUGAAGAAUUUUCACAUGAACUGUUGAAUAAGCAAAUAUGUAAGUGCUCUUCUCCAUCCACUAUUCUAAAUCUUCAUUGAUA
This is a non-coding RNA of Microcebus murinus (gray mouse lemur), 1150 nucleotides long. Lineage: Eukaryota; Metazoa; Chordata; Mammalia; Primates; Cheirogaleidae. The record is from RefSeq and is a predicted model, not a curated record.